This 87-nucleotide transfer RNA is filed under the name Minisyncoccota bacterium. RNAcentral's name for it is "tRNA-Ser". It matches the Rfam family "tRNA". Rfam says of the family: Transfer RNA (tRNA) molecules are approximately 80 nucleotides in length. Their secondary structure includes four short double-helical elements and three loops (D, anti-codon, and T loops). Further hydrogen bonds mediate the characteristic L-shaped molecular structure. tRNAs have two regions of fundamental functional importance: the anti-codon, which is responsible for specific mRNA codon recognition, and the 3' end, to which the tRNAs corresponding amino acid is attached (by aminoacyl-tRNA synthetases). tRNAs cope with the degeneracy of the genetic code in two manners: having more than one tRNA (with a specific anti-codon) for a particular amino acid; and 'wobble' base-pairing, i.e. permitting non-standard base-pairing at the 3rd anti-codon position. The record is from RNAcentral. Lineage: Bacteria; Bacillati; Minisyncoccota. RNAcentral also lists the same sequence under 1 other name.
GGAAGCGUGGCCGAGUGGCUGAAGGCAGCAUCCUGCUAAGAUGUUAGGGGAGAAAUCCCCUCGAAGGUUCGAAUCCUUCCGCUUCCG